This 565-nucleotide ribosomal RNA is filed under the name Salmonella enterica subsp. enterica serovar Weltevreden. Its description in RNAcentral is "partial 23S ribosomal RNA". It matches the Rfam family "Bacterial large subunit ribosomal RNA", at positions 2200 to 2764 of the family's 2925-position model. Lineage: Bacteria; Pseudomonadati; Pseudomonadota; Gammaproteobacteria; Enterobacterales; Enterobacteriaceae. RNAcentral also lists the same sequence under 1 other name. The record is from RNAcentral.
CCACCCUUUAAUGUUUGAUGUUCUAACGUGGACCCGUUACCCGGGUUGCGGACAGUGUCUGGUGGGUAGUUUGACUGGGGCGGUCUCCUCCUAAAGAGUAACGGAGGAGCACGAAGGUUGGCUAAUCCUGGUCGGACAUCAGGAGGUUAGUGCAAUGGCAUAAGCCAGCUUGACUGCGAGCGUGACGGCGCGAGCAGGUGCGAAAGCAGGUCAUAGUGAUCCGGUGGUUCUGAAUGGAAGGGCCAUCGCUCAACGGAUAAAAGGUACUCCGGGGAUAACAGGCUGAUACCGCCCAAGAGUUCAUAUCGACGGCGGUGUUUGGCACCUCGAUGUCGGCUCAUCACAUCCUGGGGCUGAAGUAGGUCCCAAGGGUAUGGCUGUUCGCCAUUUAAAGUGGUACGCGAGCUGGGUUUAGAACGUCGUGAGACAGUUCGGUCCCUAUCUGCCGUGGGCGCUGGAGAACUGAGGGGGGCUGCUCCUAGUACGAGAGGACCGGAGUGGACGCAUCACUGGUGUUCGGGUUGUCAUGCCAAUGGCACUGCCCGGUAGCUAAAUGCGGAAGAGA